AGCUUUGCACAGUGGUAGUAUCAUAGGCAAUGGGGUUUAUCCGAGGCAUGAUUAUUGCUAAUUAAGUAUGAUUAAACAUAAAAGGGAAGGGUUUGAAUUUUAGCAGUGUCUAAGUCACUUAAAGCUAUUCUUCAAAAGAC
Small nuclear RNA from Ochotona princeps (American pika), 140 nucleotides. Its record names the gene U4. It matches the Rfam family "U4 spliceosomal RNA". Rfam says of the family: U4 small nuclear RNA (U4 snRNA) is a component of the major U2-dependent spliceosome. Lineage: Eukaryota; Metazoa; Chordata; Mammalia; Lagomorpha; Ochotonidae. The record is from Ensembl.